ACGAACCAAGCGAACGUUAUUCGGAAUUACUGGGCUUAAAGCGCGUGUAGGCGGAUGACCACGUCAGUCGUUGAAAUCCCCCGGCUCAACCGGGGAACAGGCGCUGAUACGAGUUGUCUGGAGGUGGGUAGGGGAGACUGGAACUUCCGGUGGAGCGGUGAAAUGCGUUGAGAUCGGAAGGAACGCCCGCGGCGAAAGCGAGUCUCUGGACCCAUUCUGACGCUGAGACGCGAAAGCCAGGGGAGCAAACGGGAUUAGAUACCCCGGUAGUCCUGGCUGUAAACAUUGGGCACUGGGUAGUGGAACCGCCGAUGGUUUCACUGCCGCAGGGAAACCGUGAAGUGCCCCGCCUGGGGAGUAUGGUCGCAAGGCUG
Molecule: ribosomal RNA, 374 nt
Filed under: uncultured bacterium
Lineage: Bacteria
Description: bacterial SSU rRNA
Rfam family: Bacterial small subunit ribosomal RNA
Source: RNAcentral